GACGAACCGAGCGAACGUUGUUCGGAAUAACUGGGCUUAAAGGGCGCGUAGGCGGUCGUGACAAGUCACUUGUGAAAUCUCCGGGCUUAACUCGGAACGGUCAAGUGAUACUGUCGGACUAGAGUACAGAAGGGGCAACUGGAAUUCUCGGUGUAGCGGUGAAAUGCGUAGAUAUCGAGAGGAACACCUGCGGCGAAGGCGGGUUGCUGGGCUGAUACUGACGCUGAGGCGCGAAAGCCAGGGGAGCGAACGGG
RNAcentral lists this ribosomal RNA (254 nucleotides) under uncultured bacterium. RNAcentral's name for it is "partial 16S ribosomal RNA". It matches the Rfam family "Bacterial small subunit ribosomal RNA", at positions 524 to 776 of the family's 1533-position model. The record is from RNAcentral.